UACGUAGGGUGCGAGCGUUAAUCGGAAUUACUGGGCGUAAAGCGUGCGCAGGCGGUUUUGUAAGCCAGAUGUGAAAUCCCCGGGCUUAACCUGGGAAUGGCAUUUGGGACUGCAAGGCUGGAGUGUGGCAGAGGAGACUGGAAUUCCCGGUGUAGCAGUGAAAUGCGUAGAUAUCAAGAGGAACACCUGAGGUGAAGACGGGUUGCUGGGCCAACACUGACGCUGAUGCGCGAAAGCCAGGGGAGCAAACGGG
Molecule: ribosomal RNA, 253 nt
Filed under: uncultured bacterium
Lineage: Bacteria
Description: partial 16S ribosomal RNA
Rfam family: Bacterial small subunit ribosomal RNA
Source: RNAcentral